RNAcentral lists this ribosomal RNA (468 nucleotides) under uncultured bacterium. RNAcentral's name for it is "partial 16S ribosomal RNA". It matches the Rfam family "Bacterial small subunit ribosomal RNA", at positions 28 to 507 of the family's 1533-position model. The record is from RNAcentral.
GACGAACGCUGGCGGCGUGCUUAACACAUGCAAGUCGAACGGAAAGGCCCUGCCUUUGUGGGGUGCUCGAGUGGCGAACGGGUGAGUAACACGUGAGCAACCUGCCCCUGACUUUGGGAUAACUUCAGGAAACGGGGGCUAAUACCGGAUAGGAGAUCCGGCCGCAUGGGGGGGGUUGGAAAGUUUCGGCGGUUGGGGAUGGACUCGCGGCUUAUCAGCUUGUUGGUGGGGUAGUGGCUUACCAAGGCUUUGACGGGUAGCCGGCCUGAGAGGGUGACCGGCCACAUUGGGACUGAGAUACGGCCCAGACUCCUACGGGAGGCAGCAGUGGGGAAUAUUGCACAAUGGGCGGAAGCCUGAUGCAGCAACGCCGCGUGCGGGAUGACGGCCUUCGGGUUGUAAACCGCUUUCGCCUGUGACGAAGCGUGAGUGACGGUAAUGGGUGAAGAAGCACCGGCUAACUACGUG